UCCAAAUCGCCCGGAUGGAGCUUUACCCCGCCAACAGCCGCGUGUUCCUCAGGCCUCCUUCCAACGAGUCCCGUGGAGCCGUGACUGAAAGCACGGUCACGUCUGGAGUGGAGCCAAAGCAGAGCCGGCCUUCCCGGCAGCCUGAGGCAGCUAAGUAGGGCCGGGCCUGACGCGCUCCACGCAGGACUUCCCGUGUCCCUCUUGUCCCGAUGGACGGUGAGACCCAGUCAGGUCUCCUCACAGACGAGUCAGCGGGAGAAGGCGGGCUGCCGCCGCGAAGACCGACAGCGCAGGCGGACGGGCUGAGGGCCGAGGCCUGGAAGGGAGCCGCGGCGGCGGCCCUUCCUGCUCGCGGCCCUGUCAGCCGCCCUCGCUGCCGCGCUGCCUCCGGGCCGAGGCGCCGCCUGGGUCAGUUUCCCGGCGUUUCUCCCCAAGGCGCUUUGCAGAGUUUCGGCGCCCUCCCGGAUCUUGGGGUUAUUUAGAGCAUCACCCUAUAAGUAUCUAAGUUGAAAAAAACAAUAGCAAAAAAAAAAAAAAGAAGAAGAAGCAAGUCCUUUUAAAUC
This is a long non-coding RNA of Canis lupus familiaris (dog), 563 nucleotides long. RefSeq lists it as uncharacterized. Lineage: Eukaryota; Metazoa; Chordata; Mammalia; Carnivora; Canidae. The transcript is spliced from 2 exons. The record is from RefSeq and is a predicted model, not a curated record.